UUGUGGAUGUCUAUGGGUUACAGUAACCAC
Molecule: small RNA, 30 nt
Filed under: Bombyx mori (domestic silkworm)
Lineage: Eukaryota; Metazoa; Arthropoda; Insecta; Lepidoptera; Bombycidae
Description: ovarian small RNA-38158
Source: RNAcentral